UACAGGGGGGGCAAGCGUUGUUCGGAAUUACUGGGCGUAAAGGCUCGUAGGUGGCCAACUAAGUCGGACGUGAAAUCCCUCAGCUUAACUGGGGAACUGCGUCCGAUACUGGAUGGCUUGAGUUUGGGAGAGGGAUGCGGAAUUCCAGGUGUAGCGGUGAAAUGCGUAGAUAUCUGGAGGAACACCGGUGCGAAGGACGGCGAUCCUGGACCAACACUGACACUGAGGAGCGAAAGCCAGGGGAGCAAACGGG
This 253-nucleotide ribosomal RNA is filed under the name uncultured bacterium. RNAcentral describes it as "partial 16S ribosomal RNA". It matches the Rfam family "Bacterial small subunit ribosomal RNA", at positions 524 to 776 of the family's 1533-position model. The record is from RNAcentral.